CCUGGGAACUACGAGCCAAGCUUAAAACCCAAAGGACUUGACGGUACCCCAUAUCCCCCUAGAGGAGCCUGUCCUAUAAUCGAUAACCCCCGUUCAACCUCACCAUUUCUAGCAACUCAGUCUGUAUACCUCCGUCGUCAGCUUACCACGUGAGCGCUAGUAAGCUCAAUGUUUUUUCAACUAAACGUCAGGUCAAGGUGCAACACAUGAGAUGGGAAGAGAUGGGCUACACUUUCUAGCAUAGACCACACGAAAGACUAACUAUGAAAUCUAGUCAGAAGG
Molecule: ribosomal RNA, 282 nt
Filed under: Ranitomeya ventrimaculata (Amazonian poison frog)
Lineage: Eukaryota; Metazoa; Chordata; Amphibia; Anura; Dendrobatidae
Description: partial 12S ribosomal RNA
Rfam family: Bacterial small subunit ribosomal RNA
Source: RNAcentral